RNAcentral lists this ribosomal RNA (253 nucleotides) under uncultured bacterium. RNAcentral describes it as "partial 16S ribosomal RNA". It matches the Rfam family "Bacterial small subunit ribosomal RNA", at positions 524 to 776 of the family's 1533-position model. The record is from RNAcentral.
UACGUAGGUGGCAAGCGUUGUCCGGAUUUACUGGGUGUAAAGGGCGUGUAGCCGGGCUGACAAGUCAGAUGUGAAAUUCCGGGGCUCAACCCCGGACCUGCAUUUGAAACUGUUGGUCUUGAGUAUCGGAGAGGCAGGCGGAAUUCCUAGUGUAGCGGUGAAAUGCGUAGAUAUUAGGAGGAACACCAGCGGCGAAGGCGGCCUGCUGGACGACAACUGACGGUGAGGCGCGAAAGCGUGGGGAGCAAACAGG